Long non-coding RNA from Gossypium raimondii (Peruvian cotton), 627 nucleotides. RefSeq lists it as uncharacterized. The record is from RefSeq and is a predicted model, not a curated record. The transcript has 2 exons. Lineage: Eukaryota; Viridiplantae; Streptophyta; Magnoliopsida; Malvales; Malvaceae.
AACUAUGGGGGACUAAAGUGGAAAUUAAUACUACCCUCCAAAACGCUGUGUAGAAUUGGAUUAAACUAAAACAGAUUCAAUAUAUCAUGGAAAAUUUUGAAAACAAAAAAAAAGAUUUUGAAAUGAUGGAAAACAUGAAAGGACUCAAAACAUAAAUAACCCCUCAAUGCUUAAAACCUAUUUCAGAUUCUAAUUAAAACCCUAUUCCCUCUUGCGGCACCUUCUCUGUUUUUCAAGCCAAACUCCCCCCUUUUCAACUUUGAUUCCGACGAAGCAUAACAAGGGCAUCGACGGCGCGCCAACACCGGUAUUGUUGGCGCAUGGAGCGGUGCACGUUGGGGAGGGUCGUGGUGCGAGAUUCGCGGCGGUGUGCGAGGGUGGUACUGGAGACUGCUGGGGCUUGCGGCGUUGGGGUCAAAGCUGCUAGGGUUUUCAGUAGAAAAUUUGUUUACUGGGCUGUUGGGGUUUGGGCCUAGGUUUAGUUUAUUAGGUUGUUUUACUAUUUGUAAGGCCUGGACCAUUUGGGCUGAUUACACUCAUAUACAUUUCUUACUAUAUCUUAUAAUUUAUAUAUAUAUAUGUACAUAUUCUUUAUUUAUUUUAAAUAUAUAUUUUUCAUAUUUCAUA